RNAcentral lists this transfer RNA (94 nucleotides) under Desulfobacterales bacterium. RNAcentral's name for it is "tRNA-Ser". It matches the Rfam family "tRNA". Rfam says of the family: Transfer RNA (tRNA) molecules are approximately 80 nucleotides in length. Their secondary structure includes four short double-helical elements and three loops (D, anti-codon, and T loops). Lineage: Bacteria; Pseudomonadati; Thermodesulfobacteriota; Desulfobacteria; Desulfobacterales. The record is from RNAcentral.
GGAGAGAUGGCCGAGUAGGCUGAAGGCGCUCGCCUGCUAAGCGAGUGUAGGGUCAAAAGCUCUACCCUGGGUUCAAAUCCCAGUCUCUCCGCCA